GCCCAGGUGGUGAAAUUGGUAGACACGCAUGAUUCAGGUUCAUGUGCUUAACGGCGUGGGGGUUCGAGUCCCCCCUUGGGCACCA
This 85-nucleotide transfer RNA is filed under the name Opitutia bacterium. RNAcentral's name for it is "tRNA-Leu". It matches the Rfam family "tRNA". From Rfam's summary of the family: Transfer RNA (tRNA) molecules are approximately 80 nucleotides in length. Their secondary structure includes four short double-helical elements and three loops (D, anti-codon, and T loops). The record is from RNAcentral. Lineage: Bacteria; Pseudomonadati; Verrucomicrobiota; Opitutia.